UAAACCGUCCCAGAGUUGGAGGGGUGGGGAAGAUUUUAGUAAGCCGGUGUUUCUCACAGUAAGGGAAUGCAUUUGGGAAAAUAAUGCAGACCAGGUAAUCCUCUAUCAGCAGGUAAAGGAUUAACCAGAAGAGAACCUGAUUUUGCAAAACCGACUGAGAUUUCAAUUGCCAGAAAAACAAACAGCUUGCUUUGCCCGGUACGGAACUGGCUGCGAGAUGUUUGUCUACCUGCAGAGAGAGAUAUCACCCAUCUGUACGUGUAUUUGUGAUGCUAAAACUGGAGUCAUACGGGCUGAUAAUCAGGGCAAAGAACAUUCCUGUAGGCUGAAACCCAUGAAAAGGUGGCAGAAAAGCCCAGUGAAUACCCAGGCUGAGUUUAUAGAGAGGAAUCAUCUGUACCAGGGCAUGCAAAUACAGCCUCACGCAGCUUUUUGUAUUCACUUGCCACAAACCUGCGGCUGAAUGAGUUUCACCAGCACAAAUGUUGGAGGAAAGUGAAGUUCAAAGCUGCAUGCAUGAGUAACCAUGGAAACAGAAUUUUAAAUUUGCACAUGUAUUUGUAUCCGAAGUACUUUGUGCGCUCGGCCAAUGCGGGGAGAGGGACACCCCCAUGUCACAACCGGCCAAUGGCGACUCAGAAACACGGCUUGAAUUUCAAAUAUCACCUACUUACAGCAAACCUCCCUGUCCCGAGUGGAGAAAAAAAGGAAUGUGAAAAAACCUGCCUGGAAUUGCCAUCUGCUCGUGAAUAUUCCACAAUUAGCAGGGACGGCGGGAUUCAUUGGAUACAUUAUUCAUUGUGGAUUAUUCGCCCAGAUCUAACAGCAAUAGUGGAACGGGCAUUUAAAUAUUGUGAUGAGGAGCUAUUGCAGACAUUGAAGGUGUAUGUGACUGUCCCCAUGAAUGAAUAUGGAUGUGCUCCUCUCCUGCAGGAAUCUCUGGGAACAAUAAAUGUGUGGUAAAUACCUUGUCUUCUGCACCAAGAGAAAAUCUAGAACUCUGUGAUAAACAGCAUUUUUUAAAAAAAUCCCUUUUCCUGCUCAUUUGUCCUCUGCCUCAAUCCCUCUUCCCUCAACUGGGCUACUCAUGCCCCAAAAUCAACUUCAUUGCCAUUUCAGCAAUAAAGGCACUUGCUGUUUCCCUUGCUGUGGCUCAGGCUA
This is a long non-coding RNA of Parus major (Great Tit), 1161 nucleotides long. RefSeq lists it as uncharacterized. The record is from RefSeq and is a predicted model, not a curated record. Lineage: Eukaryota; Metazoa; Chordata; Aves; Passeriformes; Paridae. The transcript has 2 exons.